AUGCACAAAAUACAAGAGUUUGGCAUAGAGUUCAACAAACUCACUGGUCAAAUUCCGGCAGUUUUGUUCAUGAGCUGGCCGGAGCUCAUAGCAUUCCAAGCGCAGCGAAACUCGUUCACUGGGAAGAUUCCGCCAGAGCUAGGCAAGGCAACCAAGCUAAAAAUAAUCUAUCUCUACAGCAACAACCUUACCGGCUCUAUUCCGGUAGAGAUUGGCGAGUUGGUGAGCCUAAGCCAGUUGGACUUGUCCGCCAACUUGCUCACAGGGCCAAUACCCAGCUCGUUCGGCAACCUCACGCAGCUCAUGAGGCUGGAGCUCUUCUUCAACCAGCUCACUGGAACGAUCCCACCGGAGAUUGGCAACAUGACAGCAUUGCAAGUCUUGGAUGUCAACACCAACCUUUUGGAAAGCGAGCUGCCCAACACCAUCACAUCACUCAGGAAUCUCCAGUACCUCAGCCUGUUCGACAACAACUUUGGGGGCAACCUACCCGCUGACCUCGGUAAGGGGCUGAGCUUGAUCGACGUGAGCUUCGCGAAGAACAGCUUCUCCGGAGAACUGCCGCAGAGUCUGUGUGAUGGCCUCAUGGUAGAGAAUUUCAUGGUGAACCAUAACAACUUCAGCGGCUCGCUACCGCUGUGCCUCAAGAACUGCACAUCCCUAUUCUGUUUGAGAUUGGACCAGAACCAAUUCACUGGGGACAUCUCAAAGGUGUUUAGUGUCCAUCCCAUCUUGGACUUCUUGGAUGUUUCGGGGAAUCAGCUGACAGGGAACCUGUCGCAUGAUUGGUCACAAUGCACCAAUCUAACAAUUCUAUCCAUGGACAACAAUCGCCUGUCUGGAAACAUUCCUGCAGCCUUGUGUGGAUUGACCUCUCUCCAGUUACUGGAUCUAUCAAGUAACCACUUCACUGGUGAGCUCCCAAGUUGCUGGCGGGAACUACAAGCAGUGGUAUUUAUGGAUGUAUCCAGCAAUGGGUUCUGGGGUAAAUUACCUAUCUCGACAAGCUUGAGUGACUUCCCUCUCCAAUCACUCCAUCUUGCUAACAAUAGCUUCUCUGGGGAUUUCCCAUCUGUCAUUGAAACCUGUUGCCGUAAGCUCAUCACACUAGAUCUUGGGAACAACAUGUUCUUCGGUGUUAUUCCUGCUUGGAUUGGAAAAAGUGUUCCCCUUCUACGAGUUCUGAGCCUCCCAUCCAACAAUUUUAGUGGUGUCAUUCCAUUCGAGAUAUCCCAGCUUUCUAAUCUGCAAGUACUUGACAUGUCAAACAACAGCUUUACUGGAUUCAUCCCAAGUACAUUCGGCAACUUAUCAUCCAUGAUGGAACAACUCUCGUCUUGGAGAACAACAUCUUCUGAAAAGCAUGAUGUUGUCCAACUGAGACGGAUUUCUAUUUUUUCUAGAAGGACUAUGCCACCUGAUAGCUUGUCGUCAGUGGACGAGUACCGAGAGAGAGUUAACAUUUUCUGGAAGGGUCGUGAGCAAACUUUUCAGAAAACAAUUGAACUAAUGACAGGCAUCGAUUUAUCAAGCAAUCUGCUCGCAGGCGACAUCCCCAACGAGCUAACAUACCUUCAAGGUCUCCGAUUCUUGAACUUGUCAAGAAAUGAUCUGUCGGAUAGUAUUCCACCAAGCAUUGGAAGUUUGGGGCUCCUGGAGUUCCUUGACCUCUCAUGGAACGAACUUUCAGGUCCUAUCCCACCCAGCAUCUCAAAUUUGCCGUACCUCAGUGUGUUAAAUCUCUCCAACAACCGUUUAACAGGCUCCAUUCCGACGGGGAGUCAGCUACAGACACUUGUAGACCCAUCAAUUUACGGCAACAAUCUGGGGCUUUGUGGCUUCCCGUUGAGCGCACAUUGUCUGGGUGAGGGAACUGAUCAAGACCACACGCAGCAACUCGGAAGCGAUGUGGGGUUGUGUUACUCUGUAAUUCUUGGCGUUGUUUUUGGUUUUUGGCUUUGGUUUGGAGCUCUGUUUUUCCUCGAGCCAUGGAGGGUUUCCUUCUCUCGUUUUCUUGAUAAGUUGUGCAGUAAGUAA
Molecule: ribosomal RNA, 2037 nt
Filed under: Triticum aestivum (bread wheat)
Lineage: Eukaryota; Viridiplantae; Streptophyta; Magnoliopsida; Poales; Poaceae
Description: partial small subunit ribosomal RNA
Source: RNAcentral